Molecule: small RNA, 931 nt
Filed under: Rattus norvegicus (Norway rat)
Lineage: Eukaryota; Metazoa; Chordata; Mammalia; Rodentia; Muridae
Description: uncharacterized LOC102551339
Source: RNAcentral
UGCGCGUGUAGUUCAAGGCAACCCCUGGCUAUAUGGUCUGGGUGACAUGAGAUGCUGUCUCAAAAGAAUAAAACAAAAGCAAAGACAGGAAAAAAAAAUUCACUCCAAAUAAACACCCACCCUAAACAAACUCCAAACAAGACUCAAAGCCCAACAACAGUUAAAUAUUUGUUUUGUCUAAAGUUGGAGCUGGAGUCGUGAUGACUCACAGUUCAAAGGAACUGCGUGAGAGUGGCCCCCACGAUUUUCCUGAAGGCUUUUUUGUUCUCUCUGGGGCUAAUGAGUUGGCUGUGUAGGCAGUGACUUGAUAAAGGGAAAUGGACGGAAUCAUUAAGCCUCUCUCGCCCGUCUCCUCUUUGCAGACUACAAAACCCAACUGGAGGAAAUUCCACCCAAAACUUUAAUAUGGAAAAAGGAGAAAAACGAAAACAUGCAGAUCCCUUCACAAAGCUGUGCAAAGUGACUGUGUGAUUGCAUGAGGCAAGCUGCUCCACGGAACCACCCAGAAGACAUGCUCUGGAAUCAGGUUGACGAUCUCCAAAUGUUAGUUUACAUUCUCAGGUUCAUCCAAACGUUAUCUACCCAAGGGGUCUUGAGAAGAACGAGGAGACAGUGGACAGAGCCUUCUUAUACUCUGACCUGGCCAAGAGAGAGGAUCCUGGUGGGCAGAUUUCUCAUCUAUGAGGCCAAUCUGAUCGUCAAACUGAUGUAAGUCCUGCCAUCUUGAAUUUUCAUUUUUCUUAUUGUUGUGAUGGAAUGCUUCACAAAGGCAGCUUAAUGAAGGAUGGAUUUAAUUUCAUAUUAUUGGGUGGUGGGGAAGGCAUGGCGGCGGGCAUAUGAGGAAGCUGGUCACAUUACAUCUUCAGUUAGGAGGCAGGGAGAGAUGAAUGGUGGGACCCUGCUUACCCUCUCCCUUUUAUUCACGUUGUGA